This 504-nucleotide ribosomal RNA is filed under the name uncultured bacterium. RNAcentral describes it as "partial 16S ribosomal RNA". It matches the Rfam family "Bacterial small subunit ribosomal RNA", at positions 29 to 523 of the family's 1533-position model. The record is from RNAcentral.
AUUGAACGCUGGCGGCAGGCCUAACACAUGCAAGUCGGACGGUAGCACAGAGAGCUUGCUCUUGGGUGACGAGUGGCGGACGGGUGAGUAAUGUCUGGGGAUCUGCCCGAUAGAGGGGGAUAACCACUGGAAACGGUGGCUAAUACCGCAUAACGUCGCAAGACCAAAGAGGGGGACCUUCGGGCCCCUCACUAUCGGAUGAACCCAGAUGGGAUUAGCUAGUAGGCGGGGUAAUGGCCCACCUAGGCGACGAUCCCUAGCUGGUCUGAGAGGAUGACCAGCCACACUGGAACUGAGACACGGUCCAGACUCCUACGGGAGGCAGCAGUGGGGAAUAUUGCACAAUGGGCGCAAGCCUGAUGCAGCCAUGCCGCGUGUAUGAAGAAGGCCUUCGGGUUGUAAAGUACUUUCAGCGGGGAGGAAGGCGGUGCGGUUAAUAACCGCGUCGAUUGACGUUACCCGCAGAAGAAGCACCGGCUAACUCCGUGCCAGCAGCCGCCGUAA